RNAcentral lists this long non-coding RNA (3114 nucleotides) under Gallus gallus (chicken). RNAcentral's name for it is "long non-coding RNA NONGGAT004624". The record is from RNAcentral. Lineage: Eukaryota; Metazoa; Chordata; Aves; Galliformes; Phasianidae.
UUGAACCCCUCAAAUCUCCCUGUUCUGCCAUUCCUUACUUUUCUGCUUUUUUGAAGUACUGCUGGCUUCUUGGAAGCCAGCUGCAGUUCAAGGUUGAUUUUUUUUUUUUUUUGUUCGACUCCUUUCUGCUGUUGAUUUUUCAGGCCGACGGGUGGCAGUGUUUGCUUCUAGAAAUAACCUGCAUGAACCGCGGAGACGAGAGCUGCUUGGGAAGUCUAGCUGUUGUGUUCUGGUUGUGAUCUCCCGCAUGGGCUGUGCAGUGAGGACUUGCUGAGCCUCAAAACCCAAACAGCAGUUGGUACCUGAGCUCCUCCAGCUUGCCUCUGGGAACUGCUUUUUCUGGAUGCAACAUGAGAAACAGAAAACUUUGGGUAGCAUCACGUCUUAAAAUGACCAUUUUCAACGCACUUCACGAAUGUUCAGCUUUGUCAUUUAAGAAUAACAGCUAGAGGACUCUCUGUUACCAUAAAGUUUCUGCAAAGAAAAAUAAAAUUUGGUAUCUCUUCUACACAGUCAUUCAUAACAUUUCUGUGCAACAUUUGGUGUUCAUUACAUUUAUUUGGCCUAUUAAAAGGAAGCAAGAACAAAACAGCUGCAAAUAAAACCAACUUCUCUUUCACAACAGAUACUUCAGAUGCCGAAGCUGCUACAUGUGCUUGGAAUAUCAUGCAGGAGUUCACUUACUCACUUAAAUAGGAUAUAUAUUUAUAGCUGAGCUCGUCUUGUGUCAGACAAGGAUGAGGGAAAACCUGGAAGAACUCAGUUGAAAACACUGUCGAGAACAGUGACAAAGAGCACACAACCACCAACGGUAUUUUGGCCUGAACAGUGUGUAUAUGAAGCUAUAUACACACAGACACAUGCACGCACACACACACACACCUAAAAAACUCUCAGUGAUUGAACUAGAAUUCAUCGCAGAGACCGAACUGCAGAGUGGCUGGCGAGCCAGAUUCUCAUUUAGAGAAAAUUACUGAAAAGAGGAGUGACCACCAAAACCGCUGCCCCCUGCCUGCCCAGCAUGGAGGAAGCUUUCCCAGGUACCAACCACAACUUCCUCCACCUUUACUGGCAAGUGUGACCUCAACCCACAUUGGUGCAAGGAGAUGCACCACAGCCGUGAAAAGCCUGCCUUCUGUGAUGGUGAUGAGGGUGAUGAAGGCCAAGCUCAGCACAGGGGGUGCAGAUGCAUUUUUAAUGACGGAACUGAGGCUUUAUUGAGGUAUCUGGCACUAAUCAUUUCUGGUGCUGUUGUCAUUCAAGUGCUCGGGGGAUCUGGAUGAGAUGGGAAAGGGAUGAGGAAGGCUCAGCCCCACUCACCACGGGCUCUGCAGUUGCACUGGUGAAGCUGGGAGGGUAAAUGCCAGCUCCCCUCUGAGCAGGGAUUAUUUCAAACUGCAGGGAAGGGCUCCAAACGAAAGGGAAAGAGGACACUGUGUUUCAAGGAGCACUAACCUCUGUUGGAUUUAUUGACUUCCUCCCUCCUAAUGAUGAACAACCCACGUCUUACCAUAACUGCUUACUGCCAGCGCUAGCCAACACAACCAGAUUCAUAUUAUAAAAAGCCUGUUUGGGUCAUAAAUCUCCAUGAAAGUCAUCUAACCAGCAGGAAGGGAAACAUUCCUAAGAAAUUAUUGCUUCUGGAAUCUGUAAUUGCCAGCCACAAACAGUUCAAGCCCAACGAGACUCUUGUGAUAACCCAAUGGUGCACAAUCCCCACUGCGUCUUUCUGAGCGAUGCGGUUUGAGCUGCUCUGCUUUCAUGUGAAGUACUUCAGGACGUGCAGCUUGCCGACCGCAGAGUCCUAGUGAAACACUCAGCACUCUGAGCUCCAACAGUGUCUCAUGUAGGGGCAUUGCAUGCCACCAAAGACUGCAGCAAAAUAUGUUAAAAUUGUUUACAGUACAGAGCAACUUGGAGUGAAACCACAAAACCACAAACCUACUGCAGUGAAGGUCCUGCGAGAUGGAGCACGCAGGAUGAGUUGGACUGUGCAGUAAUACUGGCAAACAACAAGGAUACUUGCUAUCAUCAGGAAUUAAGUAAAGCCCCUUCAACUCUCUCUUCUGCAAUAAAGAUGUAAAAUCGUACUAAUUUAUAUUUUAAUUGUGGCAAAAAAAAAAAAGUUCUGUAUCGAAAGGCGAGGGACGCAUUUAGAAAUAAAUGAGUGCCCCCUCCACCCUGAGAAGUGCCGGGGUAAAAAGGAAAGUUCUCAAAUCCAAGAGAAAGCAUUGUAUCAACAGAUGUCAGAAAUGACCCCUUGCGAGCACAAGGGAAGUGAGCGCUGUGCUUUCACAGCCUGGCCGAGGGACAGGAGGAGAUGCUUUGGCAGGGGCUGCCCCACGUUAAUUCUUCUGGCAAUACUACAAAUACUUCGGCGUGUUUACAAUGGAUAAUUAUUUCCUUCGGUUUUGUAGGGCAGUGAAAUAGAGCUUCCUGCUACAAAGCACUGUGCAUAUUUAUGUGUUACAAACACACUAAACAAUGCCAUAAACAAUCCCGUAUCUGGAUUUCAAUGUCAGUUCCUAGAAAUGAUGCUGGGACAAACUAGACCUGCUCUGCUUUUGACUGAAAGUCUCUGUGUUGGAAAUGUCCUUCUCCCCCCUCACCGCUUGCCACGACAUAGAAAACUAAAUAAAUGCAUGCAACACCAGUCUGCAAGAGGGAGCUUCAGCAUCUCCUCCCUCCUUGCAGCUGGACCUUGGUGGGCUCGACUGUGCUGUGAAAGAAACCUUGGCUUACAAAGGUGCUAUGCAGAGCAGCGGUGGUUGGAAGCUACAUUCACCAUCAAUGGAACUCGUGAGUGGUGGGGAAAUAGGUAAGGCUGGCAGCUAUAAAAAGCGUAGCAGAACGUUGCAAGAAGUAAGGUUCACAUAAGGAGUACUUGACAGUGUUCAUUUAAACCAAAGCAGAAUCUUCAAGAAGUUUUAAAAAUAAAAUAGUAAAGCCACUUUAAAAUGUCUAACUCAGUAUGUACUUUACACGAAUGCCAGUUAUAGGGUGAAAUACAACAUGCAUCUCUUCUACAUAUAUGAGUAUCACCAGAAUAUAUUAAAUGUAACUGAGAUGAUAAAAUUCAUGGCAGAAGUUCAGUUAAAGUAUUUCUCACAACUG